GUCCUCAGCUGACUGGAUGGCACCCAUUCACAUUGGCUGAGGGCAAUCUUCUUGAACUUUCUUGAGAUGCAGAACUGACUUCAAGUGGCUCCUCUGAACUUCUCGUGAUGUGAAAUAACACUUCCUUCCUCAUGCUGAAAUCCACUGGAGUUAGUUUUCUCUAACUGAAACCAAAGGAGAGAUGCACGAUGGAGACCAGCUUGUCUAGCACCUUUAGUACAGAAAAGGAAACUGAGAAGGUUGGAGACCUGUCCACGGUCACCUGGCAAAUUAGUGGCAGAGUUGGGCCAAAAACCCACAUCUGGAGAAGACACCAACACAGACCUCUCAGUCAUGCUUGGCUCCUUGCUAUCUCUCACAAUCCACAUUCCAUCUGCCUGGAAGCCCUGAAGCCCUCCCUUCAAGAUACGUUGAGGAUCCAACCACUUCUUCACUGUCCCACUGCCUCCAUCCUCCUUUCUGUGGGCAGGGGUGAGCUGACCGCCUCCUCGCUGCAUCUGUCUCUGUCUUCUCUCCUUGUGAGUCUGGGCAGGCCAGGCUGUGCUGUGGUAACCAGUGAUCCCCAGAGCUAA
RNAcentral lists this long non-coding RNA (572 nucleotides) under Callithrix jacchus (white-tufted-ear marmoset). RNAcentral's name for it is "lncRNA (ENSCJAG00000084543.1)". Lineage: Eukaryota; Metazoa; Chordata; Mammalia; Primates; Cebidae. The record is from RNAcentral.